GGUGCAGCUCAGUGGUAGAGCUCUUGCCUAGCAUGCAUGAGGCCUGGGGUUCCACCCCCAGCGCCA
RNAcentral lists this transfer RNA (66 nucleotides) under Fukomys damarensis (Damara mole-rat). It matches the Rfam family "tRNA". From Rfam's summary of the family: Transfer RNA (tRNA) molecules are approximately 80 nucleotides in length. Their secondary structure includes four short double-helical elements and three loops (D, anti-codon, and T loops). Lineage: Eukaryota; Metazoa; Chordata; Mammalia; Rodentia; Bathyergidae. The record is from Rfam by way of RNAcentral.